This 255-nucleotide ribosomal RNA is filed under the name uncultured bacterium. Its description in RNAcentral is "partial 16S ribosomal RNA". It matches the Rfam family "Bacterial small subunit ribosomal RNA", at positions 524 to 776 of the family's 1533-position model. The record is from RNAcentral.
UACGUAGGGGGCAAGCGUUGUCCGGAAUCAUUGGGCGUAAAGCGCGCGUAGGCGGCCCGAUCAGUCCGCUGUAAAAGUCCAGGGCUCAACUCCGGAUCUGCGGUGGGUACGGGCAGACUAGAGUGAUGUAGGGGAGACUGGAAUUCCUGGUGUAGCGGUGAAAAUGCGCAGAUAUCAGGAGGAACACCGGUGGCGAAGGCGGGUCUCUGGGCCGUAACUGACGCUGAGGAGCGAAAGCAUGGGGGAGCGAACAGG